RNAcentral lists this unclassified non-coding RNA (204 nucleotides) under soil metagenome. RNAcentral describes it as "partial contains 5.8S ribosomal RNA, internal transcribed spacer 2, and large subunit ribosomal RNA". The record is from RNAcentral.
AACAAGGCGUACCUGCGGACCUGCGGAAGGAUCAUUACCGAGUUUACAACUCCCAAACCCCUGUGAACAUACCUAUACGUUGCCUCGGCGGAUCAGCCCGCGCCCUGUAAAAAGGGACGGCCCGCCCGAGGACCCUAAACUCUGUUUUUAGUGGAACUUCUGAGUAAAACAAACAAAUAAAUCAAAACUUUCAACAACGGAUCU